Molecule: ribosomal RNA, 431 nt
Filed under: uncultured Hyphomicrobiaceae bacterium
Lineage: Bacteria; Pseudomonadati; Pseudomonadota; Alphaproteobacteria; Hyphomicrobiales; Hyphomicrobiaceae
Description: bacterial SSU rRNA
Rfam family: Bacterial small subunit ribosomal RNA
Source: RNAcentral
AACGAACGCUGGCGGCAGGCCUAACACAUGCAAGUCGAACGCCGUAGCAAUACGGAGUGGCAGACGGGUGAGUAACGCGUGGGAACCUUCCCAAUGGUACGGAAUAACUCGCCGAAAGGCGUGCUAAUACCGUAUAAGCCCGCAAGGGGAAAGAUUUAUCGCCAUUGGAUGGGCCCGCGUCGGAUUAGCUAGUUGGUGAGGUAAUGGCUCACCAAGGCGACGAUCCGUAGCUGGUCUGAGAGGAUGAUCAGCCACACUGGGACUGAGACACGGCCCAGACUCCUACGGGAGGCAGCAGUGGGGAAUAUUGGACAAUGGGCGAAAGCCUGAUCCAGCCAUGCCGCGUGAGUGACGAAGGCCCUAGGGUUGUAAAGCUCUUUUGGCGGGGACGAUAAUGACGGUACCCGCAGAAUAAGCCCCGGCUAACUUCG